AAUAGAUACCCUGGUAGUCCACGCCGUAAACGAUGUCGACUUGGAGGUUGUUCCCUUGAGGAGUGGCUUCCGGAGCUAACGCGUUAAGUCGACCGCCUGGGGAGUACGGCCGCAAGGUUAAAACUCAAAUGAAUUGACGGGGGCCCGCACAAGCGGUGGAGCAUGUGGUUUAAUUCGAUGCAACGCGAAGAACCUUACCUACUCUUGACAUCCAGAGAACUUUCCAGAGAUGGAUUGGUGCCUUCGGGAACUCUGAGACAGGUGCUGCAUGGCUGUCGUCAGCUCGUGUUGUGAAAUGUUGGGUUAAGUCCCGCAACGAGCGCAACCCUUAUCCUUUGUUGCCAGCGGUUCGGCCGGGAACUCAAAGGAGACUGCCAGUGAUAAACUGGAGGAAGGUGGGGAUGACGUCAAGUCAUCAUGGCCCUUACGAGUAGGGCUACACACGUGCUACAAUGGCAUAUACAAAGAGAAGCGACCUCGCGAGAGCAAGCGGACCUCAUAAAGUAUGUCGUAGUCCGGAUUGGAGUCUGCAACG
RNAcentral lists this ribosomal RNA (535 nucleotides) under uncultured bacterium. RNAcentral's name for it is "bacterial SSU rRNA". It matches the Rfam family "Bacterial small subunit ribosomal RNA", at positions 777 to 1312 of the family's 1533-position model. The record is from RNAcentral.